Molecule: long non-coding RNA, 128 nt
Organism: Chelonia mydas (Green sea turtle)
Lineage: Eukaryota; Metazoa; Chordata; Testudines; Cheloniidae
Exons: 3
Source: RefSeq, a predicted model, not a curated record
UUUUCCACUGCAUGCAUCUGAUGAAGUGGGCUUUAGCCCACGAAAGCUUAUGCCCAAAUAAAUUUGUUUGUCUCUGAGAUGCCACAAGUAUGCCUCAUAAUUUUUUGAAAAAGAUUAAAGGACUAGAA